The sequence is a ribosomal RNA, 623 nucleotides long. The stretch from base 227 to 380 matches the Rfam family "5.8S ribosomal RNA".
CGUAGGUGAACCUGCGGAAGGAUCAUUUUAGUAUUCUAUUGCCUGCGCUUUAUUGCGCGGCGAUAAACCUUUUCACACAUUGUCUAGUUUUUUUUGAAACUUUGCUUUGGGUGGAUUUGUAAAAAGAAUCUGCCCAGAGGUUUUUUUUUUAACACAUUUUUUUUCUAAUGUUUUUUACCUUUUAAUUUUUAGUCAUGAAAAUUUUUUACAAAAUUUAAAUCUUCAAAACUUUCAACAACGGAUCUCUUGGUUCUCGCAACGAUGAAGAACGCAGCGAAAUGCGAUAAGUAUUGUGAAUUGCAGAUUUUCGUGAAUCAUCGAAUCUUUGAACGCACAUUGCGCCCUCUGGUAUUCCAGAGGGCAUGCCUGUUUGAGCGUCAUUUCUCUCUCAAAACUUUGGUUUUGGUAUUGAGUGAUACUCUGUCAAGGGUUUACUUGAAAUAUUGAAUUUGCAAGAGUGUACUUUGAUAGAACGUCUUCUGAAAUAAUGUAUUUGGUUCUUCCAACUCGUUUUAUCAGUAAGAUUGGGCUUCAAGUAUUUUUUUGGCUCGGCUUUACAACAAUAACAUAAAGUUUGACCUCAAAUCAGGUAGGACUACCCGCUGAACUUUAGCAUAUCAAUA